RNAcentral lists this ribosomal RNA (360 nucleotides) under uncultured eukaryote. Its description in RNAcentral is "LSU rRNA". It matches the Rfam family "Bacterial large subunit ribosomal RNA", at positions 2126 to 2485 of the family's 2925-position model. The record is from RNAcentral.
GGCUUUGUUUGCGCAGGAUAGGUGGGAGGCGUUGAAAAUUUUCUUGCGGGAAGAUUGGAGCCGUUGGUGAGAUACCACUCUAACAAUGCUAGGAUUCUAACCCUAUACCGUUAUCCGGUUAGGGGACAGUUUCAGGUGGUCAGUUUGACUGGGGCGGUCGCCUCCCAAAAGGUAACGGAGGCGUGCAAAGGUUUCCUCAGGCUGGUCGGAAAUCAGUCGUAGAGUGUAAAGGCAUAAGGAAGCUUGAUUGUGAGACCUACAAGUCGAACAUAGACGAAAGUCGGCCUUAGUGAUCCGACGGUUCCGAGUGGAAGGGUCGUCGCUCAACGGAUAAAAGUUACUCUAGGGAUAACAGGCUGA